RNAcentral lists this ribosomal RNA (616 nucleotides) under Pseudomonas sp. RNAcentral describes it as "bacterial SSU rRNA". It matches the Rfam family "Bacterial small subunit ribosomal RNA", at positions 61 to 672 of the family's 1533-position model. Lineage: Bacteria; Pseudomonadati; Pseudomonadota; Gammaproteobacteria; Pseudomonadales; Pseudomonadaceae. The record is from RNAcentral.
GUCGAGCGGUAGAGAGAUGCUUGCAUCUCUUGAGAGCGGCGGACGGGUGAGUAAUGCCUAGGAAUCUGCCUGGUAGUGGGGGAUAACGUCCGGAAACGGACGCUAAUACCGCAUACGUCCUACGGGAGAAAGCAGGGGACCUUCGGGCCUUGCGCUAUCAGAUGAGCCUAGGUCGGAUUAGCUAGUUGGUGAGGUAAAGGCUCACCAAGGCGACGAUCCGUAACUGGUCUGAGAGGAUGAUCAGUCACACUGGAACUGAGACACGGUCCAGACUCCUACGGGAGGCAGCAGUGGGGAAUAUUGGACAAUGGGCGAAAGCCUGAUCCAGCCAUGCCGCGUGUGUGAAGAAGGUCUUCGGAUUGUAAAGCACUUUAAGUUGGGAGGAAGGGUACUUACCUAAUACGUGAGUAUUUUGACGUUACCGACAGAAUAAGCACCGGCUAACUCUGUGCCAGCAGCCGCGGUAAUACAGAGGGUGCAAGCGUUAAUCGGAAUUACUGGGCGUAAAGCGCGCGUAGGUGGUUCGUUAAGUUGGAUGUGAAAUCCCCGGGCUCAACCUGGGAACUGCAUCCCAACUGGCGAGCUAGAGUAUGGUAGAGGGGUGGUGGAAUUUCCU